Molecule: RNA transcript, 1389 nt
Organism: Musca domestica (house fly)
Lineage: Eukaryota; Metazoa; Arthropoda; Insecta; Diptera; Muscidae
Gene name: phosducin-like protein
Exons: 4
Source: RefSeq, a predicted model, not a curated record
CUCUGAGAUCUAUUUCGCUCUCACCAGCUCUCUCUUCAUUUUUGUUCUAUAAUAUCGAUAACAAAACCUAUCAAUCGAUACUGUCUUCUGAAAUAAAAAAUAAAGUAUCGAUACUGUCAUUAAUUGUUUGUCUGUUCUUGUUGGAAACAGAAAUUCCAUAAAUUGACUUGUGAAAAAUGGCUACCUUGGAAGAUAAAUUAAUGGGAGAAAAGCUUGAAUAUUAUUGUUCAAGCAGUGAAGGUGAAUAUGAACCAGAUGAUGAUGAUGCCGAUGAAAAGGGAGGUGCCCGGGCCGCUCAAGGUCCCCAGGCAUUCAUUGAUCCCGAUGUAUGCCCUCCACCCCCCGCAGCGGGGUAUCGUUCUAUGGGCUCCACCAAUACCGGGCCCAAAGGUGUUGUGGAAGACUGGCAACGAUUCAAACAGCUGCAGGCGGAACGUCGCGAAGAAAGCGAUAGACAGCGCAUUGAAUUGGCCAAAAAAUUAACGAUGACUACUGCCACAGCGCAAGAGGAGGAGGAACGAAAGAAACAGGAAGAAUUGGAAGCUGAAUUUGCCGAGCUAAUGUCCGAGGACUUUCUGCAGCAGUAUCAAAAACAACGCAUGGCCGAGAUGAUGCGCCAAUGUGGUCAUAGCCAAAACUUGGCAAAGUUAUGAAAUCUCAACUCCCAUGAAGAGUUUCUCAAUUGCGUGGAAAAAGGAGAACAAACACACAACCAUUAUAAUACACAUUUAUGACAAAUCUGUUUCAGCAUGUGGCACUUUGAACAAAUGUCUGGAUACCCUUGCCACCGAAUAUCCCACAGUGAAAUUUGCCAAGAUUUGUAGUUCAGUGGCGGGCAUGAGUCGAGAUUUCCGUCAAAAAGGUCUGCCAGCCUUGUUGGUGUACAAAGCACAGGCUGUUAUUGGCAAUUUUGUAAGAGUAACAGAUGAUUUGUCCGAUGAUUUCUUCCCUUCGGAUGUGGAAAGUUUCCUUAUUGAGAAUGGCAUUUUGGUGGAUAAAAAUCUCUACAAUCUGGGGCAAUAACAGGCGAUGACAAAUGUAUGUUGUGGACAAACUACUUAACUAAAUGAUAAAAAUAUAUAUCUAUUAUGCGUGUUCAUAAUUGAUGUUGUUCGCCAACCCCCUCCCUCUCUAACAUGGCCAUGGAAUCCCACUGAUGAUAAACGUACCUAAUGAGAUUGCCAGAGCCAAUAUAUUUAUAUCUCAAAUGCCUAGUAUUAUAUAAUACAAUUUUUAUAUUUAGAACUUUAGGGAAUUUUAGUAAUAUUUAUUCCAAAGCCAAAUGGAACUUGAACUUAAUUUUCUGCAAAUGUAUUUUGUGCAUAAAGUAAAAAACCAUAUUUAUUUAAAUAAAGCAAUGCAUGUGUGUAUGUAUAAUGUGACAAGCUA